This is a non-coding RNA of Coregonus clupeaformis (lake whitefish), 85 nucleotides long. Lineage: Eukaryota; Metazoa; Chordata; Actinopteri; Salmoniformes; Salmonidae. The record is from the annotation of a RefSeq genome assembly.
GUCAGGAUGGCCGAGUGGUCUAAGGCGCAGGACUCAAGAUUCUGGUCUCCGAUAGGAGGUGUGGGUUUAAAUCCCACUUCUGACA